This 604-nucleotide ribosomal RNA is filed under the name Didymella microchlamydospora. RNAcentral's name for it is "eukaryotic LSU rRNA". It matches the Rfam family "Eukaryotic large subunit ribosomal RNA", at positions 1 to 607 of the family's 3401-position model. Lineage: Eukaryota; Fungi; Ascomycota; Dothideomycetes; Pleosporales; Didymellaceae. The record is from RNAcentral.
UUGACCUCGGAUCAGGUAGGGAUACCCGCUGAACUUAAGCAUAUCAAUAAGCGGAGGAAAAGAAACCAACAGGGAUUGCCCUAGUAACGGCGAGUGAAGCGGCAACAGCUCAAAUUUGAAAUCUGGCGUCUUUGGCGUCCGAGUUGUAAUUUGCAGAGGGCGCUUUGGCAUUGGCAGCGGUCCAAGUUCCUUGGAACAGGACGUCACAGAGGGUGAGAAUCCCGUACGUGGUCGCUAGCCUUUACCGUGUAAAGCCCCUUCGACGAGUCGAGUUGUUUGGGAAUGCAGCUCUAAAUGGGAGGUAAAUUUCUUCUAAAGCUAAAUACUGGCCAGAGACCGAUAGCGCACAAGUAGAGUGAUCGAAAGAUGAAAAGCACUUUGGAAAGAGAGUUAAAAAGCACGUGAAAUUGUUGAAAGGGAAGCGCUUGCAGCCAGACUUGCCUGUAGUUGCUCAUCCGGGUUUCUACCCGGUGCACUCUUCUAUAGGCAGGCCAGCAUCAGUUUGGGCGGUUGGAUAAAGGUCUCUGUCAUGUACCUCUCUUCGGGGAGAACUUAUAGGGGAGACGACAUGCAACCAGCCUGGACUGAGGUCCGCGCAUCUGCU